UUAAGCUAAGCGUUGGAUUAGGUGUCGUCGUGUUGCAAUUGGUACUUGGCAGAGAAAUUGCAACGGUAGUCAUGAGCUAAGCGUUGCAUUAGGUGUCGUCGUGUUGCAAUUGGUACUUGGCAGAGAAAUUGCAACGAUAGUCAUGUCUCAUGUCCCGCCUCAAAUUUCUCGAAAAUUUCAAAUACAUCCCCUCGUACACCAAAAGCCCAGUAUUAAUUUCUCUUAGGUUAGGAGAGAGAAAGAAAGUUUCAAUAAGAAAAAGAAAAGGGGAGAGGGGGAGAAAUAGGGAGAGAAAGAGUAUGAAAUUCCGGUAAUUCCAUCUCAGAUCUCAAACAUGUAUCUCUAUCUAUGCAAGCUCAUCUCCUGCAAAAUGUAAGGAUAUCAUUCUUUUCAUCCAUUAAUGCAAGUAUGAAGCUUCGACGAUGACUCUCGCAACUUGAACUAUGUUUUGUUGUGUGUCUAAUCUAGUUUCGCAAUUCAUCAAUUUACUGCCCCCAAUUCGAGGGAUAGAUAGAAAGAGUGAGCGAAAAGGAGCGCUUGCAAAGAGGAGAUAGGCAAUUCGAAUCCCUUUCGAAAAAUUUGAAGAUAUGGGUAAAGACUGCUGAAGUUUUGGCACGUGAUCGCCUUUUAGGCUCAUUUCAGGUGAAUAAUGAACCAACUGGAGAAGAUCAAACAUAGACGUCUCACUAUACACACUAUCACCAUAUUUAGCUAGCAAUAUUAUAGUGAUGCGCUACUUGGUGGUUAGAAGGAAAAUGAUCUAUAUGUACUUAUUAGAAGUAUUUGUGGUACUAAAAUAAUUAUUUAUUAGUUGGGUUUGAUUAAGUACAUUAAUUUUCGUUAAUUAGGAUUUGUCAUGUAUACUCUUAAUUUAAUUAGUUUUGGAAACCAUAAUACAAAUAUGACAAUUAUUUUUGGCA
Beta vulgaris subsp. vulgaris (sugar beet) is the source of this 920-nucleotide long non-coding RNA. RefSeq lists it as uncharacterized. NCBI's taxonomy places the organism in Eukaryota, Viridiplantae, Streptophyta, Magnoliopsida, Caryophyllales, Amaranthaceae. The transcript has 4 exons. The record is from RefSeq and is a predicted model, not a curated record.